Long non-coding RNA from Mirounga angustirostris (Northern elephant seal), 485 nucleotides. RefSeq lists it as uncharacterized. The transcript has 4 exons. Lineage: Eukaryota; Metazoa; Chordata; Mammalia; Carnivora; Phocidae. The record is from RefSeq and is a predicted model, not a curated record.
GUCCCCUGUGAAAUGGAUUCAAGAACGGCUCGCAUGGGGCAGGUGCUAGCCAGCAGGUGAGCCAGCAAGGACUCACAGCCCGGCCGACCGACCAGAGCUGGGACCGGACCUGGGAGCUGUCUGGCUCUCUCCAAGCCUCGCUCUCCUCAUCUGUGAAACAGAAUGACGCCAUUCCCAGUCCGAGAGAAACCAGGACCCUAAUGCACAUGGAACCCGCAGGAUGCCAUGAGCAGAAGAUCGAUUGGAGGCUGCUUAAAAAGUGUGUGAUAUAAUCCAAUAAAAACAGAUGAAAAUAUCCUCCUGAAGGGAAAACAGAGAAGAGUAAAUGAAGCUAAGUCCAAGGGCAUGCAACAGAAAAGAGACACAGCGAGAGAGGAAACACAAGCAGGGGGAGUGGGAGAGGGAGAAGCAGGCCUCCCACGGAGCAGGGAGCCCGAUGCGGGGCUCGAUCCCAGGACCCUGGGACCAUGACCUGAGCCGAAGGC